UCACUUUCGAAGGUCACGGAGAUCGUUACGCAAAAUGUGUCAUGUGGUGUAGAGGUUGGGUGAGAACGGGAAGUGUCGCAUCAUUAUCAAACAGAUGCAAUAGCCGCAAGACUUAAGAGGUGAAGGGAUGAAAAGAAAUCGUAUAAAGGGAGAGAAAAAAGGUGGAGGGAAAUCAGUCGAGUGAGGAUCUCCGACACGGCAACAACUGCAGCUUACCAUUUGUCUCCAACUGUUCGCAAUUUGGGUAUUCUGUUUUUAUAUGGCGAUUUGUUUUAAUGAAACUUUUUACUAAUGGUAAAUAUUCCUGUAAUUAAUAAAUAUUAGAGUUUAAAUUUUCAAGUUGUCUAGUUAAUCAUGGUGUCGUUGAUGGCUGGGUGACUGGGUCGACCACUGGUGUACAGAUGUCUCCUGGGUAUGGAGGAUUACAAACCGUAACGCCGCCGCCUUAUUGCUCAACAACAACAGACGAAACAACCGGUACUACAUCACCAAGGCUCCAGGGUACCACCACAUCUUAUAAUGCCCCGAGCUACUACACCGAAGCCCUGAAGUAUAACUCUGCCCCGUGCACCACUACCAAAGAGCCGGAGUACCAAAGAUAGUUGUUUUUGUCAACAACUGGAUUGUUCAUCGUUUAACCAGUUCAUAAUUAUGGUUAACUAUAGCGUCGUGCUGCUGUUGGGCGUUGUAUGACUGGGUCGACCACUGGUGUACCGAUGUCUCUUGGGUAUAGCGGUUAGCCGGAUACCAAACGCCGCCGCCCUACUACACAACAACAACUUUAACAACCAGUUACUACGCCGAGGCCCCCAAGUACUACACCACUAAGGCAUCGGAGUACCAUAACUUACGCUUCGCCAAGCUACUACAUCGAUGCCCCGAAUUAUUACUCUGCCUCGAGCUACACCACCAAGACAGCAGAGUACUACACGACUACGUAUGCUGCCCUAUCUGACUACACCGAGGCUCCCCAAGUACUACUGUGUUCCCAGCUACUACACCGAGGCUCCAGCUACUACACCGAGGCUCCAGCUACUACACCGAGGCUCCAGCUAAUUUCUCGACCAAAACGGGCGAAUACUACACCGAAGCGCCCUGUACCACUCUGCCCCGAUCUACACAGCCACAACUGAGACGGGCAAGCAUUACCAGCCCCGACUUACUACAUAGAAGCUGCUCCUUCCUACUCCGUUGAACAGAAAUGCUACACUGAUGCACCAUUUUACUAGAUCCCAACCUACGCUACAUCUAGCUACAACACCGAAGCCUCUAAGUACUGCACCGAAGAAGCAUCAUGUUACACAACCACCUACGAUGUCCCAGUUUAGUACACAGAGGAACCCAAGUACUUCUACGGGAUUCGUGUUCAGAUUUAUCGGUUACUUUUUAAUAGUUGAUGAGUAUCGUGGAUGUUUAAUGAGAAAAUAAAUAUUUAAUUGCGGGUAA
This is a long non-coding RNA of Daphnia pulicaria, 1446 nucleotides long. RefSeq lists it as uncharacterized. The record is from RefSeq and is a predicted model, not a curated record. Lineage: Eukaryota; Metazoa; Arthropoda; Branchiopoda; Diplostraca; Daphniidae. The transcript has 2 exons.